ACAGCGCCUGCCGCGUAGUCAGCCAGAGAGCGCGCCAGGCGGCAGCGAAAGAGGCAGUGGCUCCCGCCGUCACAGCGUUGGGGCUGGGGCGAUGGCGGCGACCGCGGUGGCUGCAGGGGCGGGGGCCGUGGCGGGAACCGAGUCGGCCCAGGGUCCCCCGGGCCCGGCAGCGGCGCUGGAGCUGUGGCUCAACAAAGCCACAGACCCAAGCAUGUCGGAACAGGAUUGGUCAGCUAUCCAGAAUUUCUGUGAGCAGGUGAACACUGACCCCAAUGGCCCCACACACGCGCCAUGGCUACUGGCCCACAAGAUCCAGUCUCCGCAAGAGAAGGAAGCUCUUUAUGCCUUAACGGUGCUGGAGAUGUGCAUGAACCACUGUGGGGAGAAGUUUCACGGCGAGGUGGCCAAAUUCCGUUUCCUGAACGAGCUCAUCAAAGUGUUGUCCCCAAAGUACCUGGGGUCCUGGGCCACAGAAAAAGUUAAAGGAAGAGUCAUUGAAAUACUCUUUAGUUGGACAGUAUGGUUUCCUGAAGACGUCAAGAUCCGAGACGCCUAUCAGAUGCUGAAGAAACAAGGAAUUAUAAAACAAGACCCUAAACUACCAGUGGAUAAAAUCUUACCCCCACCAUCUCCCUGGCCCAAGAGCUCCAUCUUUGAUGCUGAUGAAGAAAAGUCCAAGCUUCUGACGAGGCUUCUGAAAAGCAGCCACCCCGAGGACCUUCAGGCUGCAAACCAGUUGAUCAAGAAUUUGGUCAAGGAGGAGCAAGAAAAAUCGGAGAAGGUGUCCAAGAGGGUCAGUGCAGUGGAGGAAGUGCGAAGCCAUGUGAAGGUACUGCAGGAGAUGCUGAGCGUGUACCGCAGGCCAGGGCAGGCCCCGCCUGACCAGGAGGCCCUGCAGGUUGUAUAUGAGAGGUGUGAAAAGCUGAGGCCCACCCUGUUCCGGCUGGCAAGUGACACCACUGAUGACGAUGAUGCACUUGCGGAAAUUCUCCAGGCAAAUGACCUCCUCACCCAAGGAGUUCUGCUGUACAAACAGGUGAUGGAGGGCCGGGUCACCUUUGGAAACACAGUGACCAGCUCAGUGGGAGACAUCCCUGUCUCUAGAGUCUUUCAGAAUCCAGCAGGCUGCAUGAAGACCUGCCCCUUGAUUGACUUGGAGGUGGACAAUGGACCUGCACAGGCGGGGACUGUGGCGCCAUCUUUGCUUCAUCAGGACCUGGCAGCCUUGGGAAUCAGUGAUGCUCCUGUUACAGGCACGGUUGCUGGUCAGAAUUGCUGUGAGGAAAAGAGGAAUCCCUCCGCCAGCAUGCUGCCAGGUGGUAGCAUUCAGAACCCUUCUGCAGACAGGAAUUUGCUGGACCUCCUCUCACCACAGCCAGCUCUGGGCCCUCUGAAUUAUGUUUCACAGAAAAGUAUCCCAAAGGAAGUGCCUCCAGGUACUAAGUCCUCUCCAGGUUGGUCCUGGGAGGCUGGCCCAUUGGCUCCUUCCCCGUCUUCACAGAAUACACCUCUGGCUCAAGUAUUUGUCCCUUUGGAGUCUGUUAAGCCCAUGGUGUUAACCUUCGGCUCGGGCCCUCUCCACCAGGCAGCCUGCCGCCUCUCAUUGUGUAUGACCGGAACGGAUUCAGAAUUCUGCUCCACUUCUCCGAGACGGGAGCCCCUGGCCACCCAGAGGUGCAAGUGCUGCUCUUGACCAUGAUGAGCACGGCUCCCCAGCCUGUCUGGGAUAUCAUGUUUCAAGUGGCUGUGCCAAAGUCAAUGAGAGUGAAGCUGCAGCCGGCCUCCAGCUCUAAGCUUCCUGCAUUCAGUCCUUUGAUGCCUCCAGCUGUGAUAUCUCAGAUGCUGCUGCUGGACAAUCCACACAAAGAACCUAUCCGUUUACGGUACAAGCUAACAUUCAACCAAGGUGGACAGCCUUUCAGCGAAGUAGGAGAAGUGAAAGACUUUCCAGACCUGGCUGUCUUGGGUGCAGCCUAACUUCAUAAGACAGACCCUUCAUUUCAAGCUUAGGAUGAUGUUACUUUUGCUGUCUAGUCAGGACUAAUCACAGUGUUUCAGUGCAGUGCCAAGAGUCCUAUCCUGACGUCAGGCUCUGGGUGUCAACCUCUGACUUAACUCUGCAGAUGGGUGUGUGUGUGUGUGUGUGUGUGUCUAGGUGUGUCUGGUUGUCAACCUCUGACUUAUUUUGUAGAUGCUAUGUGUGUGUGUGUCUGGGUGUCAACCUGACUUAUUCUGUAGAUGCUGUGUAUGUGUGUCUAGGUGUGUCUGGGUGUCAGCCUCUGACUUACUCUGCAAAUGGUGUGUGUGUGUGUGUGUGUGUGUGUGUGUGUGUGUGUGUGUGUGUGGUUGGGGGAGAGGGUGGUAGCGCAGGGCUUGGGAUAUCAGCAGUAUCAUCAUCUCUGCUACAAUCAUGUUUCUACAUGUCAGCAGACACUGUCCCUGCCUCAGGUUGGAGGUUUUAUAAGCCAAAGUUUUUUUUCCAUGUAUUGUUCAUUCCAUUAAUCCACUCUGUGCCUUGUCAGCCUUUGAAAGUCUUGGUUGCUCCCAGGCUGCUGUUCUCAGGGACCUUAAAAGGGACCUGGUUAGUCUUGGGGCAGAGAGUAUCUUCUGCGGCACUCUCUUCCAAGAAAGACCUUGUCUCCAUUUUCAUUAGACAAUGCUUCUUGUGUGUGUUCUGGAAGAUCUUCUAAAUGGAAUGCUUGUUGCACUGUUCCCAGGUGAGUGGCUGCCAUGAGACCUGAGGACCACGCUUGGGGGACCAAUCAUGUCCUUCACCACUGUGCCUUAGAAUUGCCCCAAGACAGACCUUUGGGCAGAGGGGAGAGCAGCUCCCAGGCCUUAUUCAGGUCUCAGGUCCAUGGGUUGGGCAGCCAGUCUGGGCCCUUCUCAGGACCCUCAUCUCCAUCCUCACUUACCCUCUUCACAGCAUUUGCUUGGAGCUCUUUGUGAAGGACACCAUGUUGGUCAUGGCGAAUUGGCCAACAGCCAGCCUUUGCCAGUUAACAUCACAGUCUAAGAUGGGGAACUGUGGUGCAGAGAGACAUGAAGAGAGCUUAGCAGUGAUUGAGGUGGUGACAAAAUAUAGUCAUUGAAUAAAUACCAUGUAGCAAAUGUACUUUGUAGAGUUUUGAGUAAGUUGUGUUUAGUGAUGAUAGGCCUAAAGGGAAAUAUCUUCUGUCCAGAAGUAAAAGAAACUUUAUGAAGGAUGUAGAAGCUUAACUGCCUCUGUGAAGAAAGAACCUGAAGAUCUGAGGAAAGCUGGACAGGAGAGGUGGAUAUUGCAUUUGUAAUAUGUCAGAAAAAUUCGAGUUUAUAUUAGUGACCACUUACUGUGUGCUAGGAACUUGAAUGUGUGUUGACAAGUCCUGCUUGGCCUGAUCGGUGGGAGAAAGAACCUGAGGCUGGCUGAGAUGGCCAGGCGGAGGGCUUUGAAGUCCAAGCAACUGACCUGGCUGGGUGGGUUUCUACCUCCGAAACUGCAAGGUCUGUUUGGAGCUCUUAAUCACAAUAUCUGAUAUUUUUACAGUGUGAUCUUUUGACUUCUACAUAUAGUGGAAAUCUGCCAACACUAAUUGGUGGAGAUGGGAACUGUAAGAGAUCAGGUAUGCUAAUUUUAAGCAAAUGUGAAAGCUCAUAAGACA
This is an RNA transcript of Saimiri boliviensis boliviensis (Bolivian squirrel monkey), 3641 nucleotides long. It is a transcript of the gene named golgi associated, gamma adaptin ear containing, ARF binding protein 2, with no coding region annotated. Lineage: Eukaryota; Metazoa; Chordata; Mammalia; Primates; Cebidae. The record is from RefSeq and is a predicted model, not a curated record.